AACGCUGGCGGCGUGCCUAAUACAUGCAAGUCGAACGGUCUUUUCUAUGGAAGCUUGCUUCCACUGAAAAGAUAGUGGCGAACGGGUGAGUAACACGUGGGUAACCUGCCCAUAAGAGGGGGAUAACAUCCGGAAACGGGUGCUAAUACCGCAUAGUUUUCUUGAUCGCAUGAUCGGGAAAGGAAAGACGGCCUUUGUGCUGUCGCUUAUGGAUGGACCCGCGGCGUAUUAGUUAGUUGGUGAGGUAACGGCUCACCAAGACGAUGAUACGUAGCCGACCUGAGAGGGUGAUCGGCCACAUUGGGACUGAGACACGGCCCAAACUCCUACGGGAGGCAGCAGUAGGGAAUCUUCCGCAAUGGACGAAAGUCUGACGGAGCAACGCCGCGUGAGUGAAAGAAGGUUUUCGGAUCGUAAAACUCUGUUGUCAGAGAAGAACAAGUUGGAGAGUAACUGCUCCAGCCUUGACGGUAUCUGACCAGAAAGCCACGGCUAACUACGUGCCAGCCGCCGC
Molecule: ribosomal RNA, 514 nt
Filed under: uncultured bacterium
Lineage: Bacteria
Description: bacterial SSU rRNA
Rfam family: Bacterial small subunit ribosomal RNA
Source: RNAcentral